GAGCCGGAAGCUCUCCUCGUAUACAGUGAACACCUGUUCCAGCCUAUCUUGCUCCAGGUAAAGGUAACCUAAGAAGAGCCCCUGAGAACAGCAGGUCCAGCCCCAUGGUUGCUAAUGGUAGCAUUUCAGGCCCAUGUCGCUAGCAGGGUGUGGGCUUGAGGUGGCAAGGGUAGGGAAAUGGAUCAUCAGACAACUUCUACCCUCCCCUUUUAUUUACCCUGCACAUGGGGCCCUUGACAGAGUUCACACACUGGAAAGAGAACCGUUCAAGAGAGAAGUCUCUGAAAGCUACCAGCUUCACCUCUAAGUGUAGUCUAUCGGAAAUGGAACCUGCAAACACCUAGUUACCUCUCCUCUGCUCCAGAGACCGGUGAGGCCAUGAAGGAGCACAGAGCCCACCCCCCUCUCAUGUCCAUGAGCCCCAGUGGCCUGUCCUUACCCUGGCUUACCAGGUGGCCACUAUAUUUAGACGAAUUCAUUUUCCAUUGUGAGAAAGAAUUGAGCCCGGUAUGCUCUGUGUACCUCAGGCAGAGGCAGACUCUCAAUACCUUCCUGUCAGGCCUGAGGCAGGCAGGGGCAAUGAUGCCAGCAGAGGCUCCUUCCGGGAUCUGCAGAGGGCUUCAGCACAGAGAGCCCGUCCUCCUGUCAGGUGCAGCUGUUAUACAAAACAGUUCAGCUGGCCUACGGCUUGGUUGAGCUUUAAAACCUGGUACGUACUGCAACAAAGAAAAA
This 732-nucleotide long non-coding RNA is filed under the name Rattus norvegicus (Norway rat). RNAcentral's name for it is "long non-coding RNA NONRATT005324". The record is from RNAcentral. Lineage: Eukaryota; Metazoa; Chordata; Mammalia; Rodentia; Muridae.